GACGAAGGAUGCAAGCGUUAUCCGGAUUCAUUGGGUUUAAAGGGUGCGUAGGCGGACCUGUAAGUCAGUGGUGAAAUCUCUUUGCUUAACAAAGAAACUGCCAUUGAUACUGCAAGUCUAGAGUAUAGAUGACGUUGGCGGAAUAUGACAUGUAGUGGUGAAAUACUUAGAUAUGUCAUAGAACACCGAUUGCGAAGGCAGCUAACGAAACUAUAACUGACGCUGAGGCACGAAAGUGCGGGGAUCAAACAGGAUUAGAUACCCUGCUAGUCCGCACCGUAAACGAUGAUUAGUCGUUGUUGGCAAUAUGACCGUCAGCGACCAAGCGAAAGCGAUAAGUAAUCCGCCUGGGGCGUACGCCGGCAACGGUG
RNAcentral lists this ribosomal RNA (371 nucleotides) under uncultured prokaryote. Its description in RNAcentral is "bacterial SSU rRNA". It matches the Rfam family "Bacterial small subunit ribosomal RNA", at positions 524 to 896 of the family's 1533-position model. The record is from RNAcentral.